RNAcentral lists this ribosomal RNA (750 nucleotides) under uncultured bacterium. RNAcentral describes it as "bacterial SSU rRNA". It matches the Rfam family "Bacterial small subunit ribosomal RNA", at positions 31 to 782 of the family's 1533-position model. The record is from RNAcentral.
GACCGUGCGGGCGUGCCUACACAUGGCAGUCGAGCGAAGCGAUGUUAAGGAAGUUUUCGGAUGGAAUUAAGAUUGACUUAGCGGCGGACGGGUGAGUAACGCGUGGGUAACCUGCCUUAUACAGGGGGAUAACAGUUAGAAAUGACUGCUAAUACCGCAUAAGCGCACGGGAACGCAUGUUUCUGUGUGAAAAACUGAGGUAGUAUAAGAUGGACCCGCGUCUGAUUAGCUAGUUGGUGGGGUAACGGCCUACCAAGGCGACGAUCAGUAGCCGGCCUGAGAGGGUGACCGGCCACAUUGGGACUGAGACACGGCCCAAACUCCUACGGGAGGCAGCAGUGGGGAAUAUUGCACAAUGGGGGAAACCCUGAUGCAGCGACGCCGCGUGAGUGAAGAAGUAUUUCGGUAUGUAAAGCUCUAUCAGCAGGGAAGAAGCAAGACGGUACCUGACUAAGAAGCCCCGGCUAACUACGUGCCAGCAGCCGCGGUAAUACGUAGGGGGCAAGCGUUAUCCGGAUUUACUGGGUGUAAAGGGAGCGUAGACGGUAUGGCAAGUCUGAAGUGAAAGCCCAGGGCUUAACCCUGGGACUGCUUUGGAAACUGUUAGACUAGAGUGCUGGAGAGGUAAGUGGAAUUCCUAGUGUAGCGGUGAAAUGCGUAGAUAUUAGGAGGAACACCAGUGGCGAAGGCGGCUUACUGGACAGUAACUGACGUUGAGGCUCGAAAGCGUGGGGAGCAAACAGGAUUAGA